RNAcentral lists this small nuclear RNA (164 nucleotides) under Carlito syrichta (Philippine tarsier). RNAcentral's name for it is "U1 spliceosomal RNA (ENSTSYG00000032610.1)". It matches the Rfam family "U1 spliceosomal RNA". Rfam says of the family: U1 is a small nuclear RNA (snRNA) component of the spliceosome (involved in pre-mRNA splicing). Its 5' end forms complementary base pairs with the 5' splice junction, thus defining the 5' donor site of an intron. Lineage: Eukaryota; Metazoa; Chordata; Mammalia; Primates; Tarsiidae. The record is from Rfam by way of RNAcentral.
AUACUUAUCUGGCAGGCGAGAUACCAUGAUCAUGAAGCUGGUUUUCCCAGGGCUAGGCUCAUCCAUUGCACUCCAGAUGUGCUGACCCCUGUGAUUUCCACAAAUGUGCUAAACUAGACUGCAUAAUUUGUGAUACUUGGGGACUGCAUUCACGCUCUCCCCUA